CCGAGAAGCAGCACAGGGGCAGCGCCAGCAGCCACCAGCGGGUCGUGCCGCCGCCGUGCUCCCCGCGCCGGCCGCCGGCCAGGUAGCAGACUAGACCGCAUUGCACGACCAGGUUUAUUUGCACAGCUAAUACCUUCGGAAUGGAGCAAAAUAAUAAUUUUGGAAAGGACCGCUGGAAGUGUUUAGACUGCCGUACGGGAAAAUAGGCAGCUAAUGGGAUUUUGAGUAAUGCCUUCCCUCAUUCACCCUGUUUGUUUGUUUCUGGUAAAGUAACUGCUAAGCACUUGUGAAAUUUAUUGUAAUUGUGCAUGUUUACCUUGUUACUUAGAACAAAGGUCCUUUGAGCCAUGUUUCCACAUAGCGCUGUACUGCUUUACUUACACCGCUGCAGACAUCGGUUCGGGUAAGUCAGUGCUCGCACUUUUUCCUUUUUUUUCAUUGGAACAAGGAACUCUUGGAAUUGUUUGGUGCCGUUGGUUGUGAUUGCCUCCCUUUGAGCAGCCCCCGAGUAGCAGCUGGUGUGUGGAAGCUGUGGGGUGGCAGGAAGUGCUGCUGCAGGACACGGGCCUGAAAGCUGGCCAUGAACAGAAACCAUCGAGCGUGAUUCCUGACAGAAAACGCACUGUGCAAUGGCAAAUACAGCAACGGAAAUAAGUCAUGAUAUUUUUUAAAAAAGGCAGAUCAAUCUGGUGGAAUUUUAAUACCAUAGUGCAUCUCCCUCUGUUAGAAAUCCCCCUACACCCUCUAUCCAAAAAAAAAGAAAAAAUUCUCUCCUGACUUGGUACACUUAACAAAAAUUCUGUGCCAUAAUAUUGGUUCUAAAAAGCUUUCAAAAAAGGAGAAUGUGUGGUUUCUUUGGGAUUAUAGUCCUACAUUUUUUAGUAUUCUUAUUUGGACCACAAUCAAGUAUACUUGUAAAUGCUUUUAAGGCUGAGGAAUACCUUGCUUUUAUGCAUAGCCUUUAUUUUUUUCAUUCCCUUGAAUUCAACUGUAAAUAAAUGCAUUCCAGAAAUAA
This is a long non-coding RNA of Catharus ustulatus (Swainson's thrush), 1015 nucleotides long. RefSeq lists it as uncharacterized. The record is from RefSeq and is a predicted model, not a curated record. The transcript has 2 exons. Lineage: Eukaryota; Metazoa; Chordata; Aves; Passeriformes; Turdidae.